Molecule: transfer RNA, 73 nt
Filed under: Acidovorax temperans
Lineage: Bacteria; Pseudomonadati; Pseudomonadota; Betaproteobacteria; Burkholderiales; Comamonadaceae
Description: tRNA-Arg
Rfam family: tRNA
About the family: Transfer RNA (tRNA) molecules are approximately 80 nucleotides in length. Their secondary structure includes four short double-helical elements and three loops (D, anti-codon, and T loops). Further hydrogen bonds mediate the characteristic L-shaped molecular structure. tRNAs have two regions of fundamental functional importance: the anti-codon, which is responsible for specific mRNA codon recognition, and the 3' end, to which the tRNAs corresponding amino acid is attached (by aminoacyl-tRNA synthetases). tRNAs cope with the degeneracy of the genetic code in two manners: having more than one tRNA (with a specific anti-codon) for a particular amino acid; and 'wobble' base-pairing, i.e. permitting non-standard base-pairing at the 3rd anti-codon position.
Source: RNAcentral
GCGGCUGUAGCUCAGUGGAUAGAGUAUCGGCCUCCGAAGCCAAGGGUCGUGGGUUCGAUCCCCGCCAGCCGCG